CCUACGGGGGGCAGCAGUAAGGAAUAUUGGUCAAUGGAGGCAACUCUGAACCAGCCAUGCCGCGUGCAGGAUGAAGGCCCUAUGGGUCGUAAACUGCUUUUAUACCAGAGAAAACCCUCGUACGUGUACGAGGCUGAUAGUAUGGUAAGAAUAAGCAUCGGCUAACUUCGUGCCAGCAGCCGCGGUAAGACGAAGGAUGCAAGCGUUAUCCGGAUUCAUUGGGUUUAAAGGGUGCGUAGGCGGACUUGUAAGUCAGUGGUGAAAUCUCUUUGCUUAACAAAGAAACUGCCAUUGAUACUGCUAGUCUAGAGUAUAGAUGACGUUGGCGGAAUAUGACAUGUAGUGGUGAAAUACUUAGAUAUGUCAUAGAACACCGAUUGCGAAGGCAGCUAACGAAACUAUAACUGACGCUGAGGCACGAAAGUGCGGGGAUCAAACAGGAUUAGAUACCCCAGUAGUC
RNAcentral lists this ribosomal RNA (460 nucleotides) under uncultured bacterium. RNAcentral's name for it is "bacterial SSU rRNA". It matches the Rfam family "Bacterial small subunit ribosomal RNA", at positions 338 to 795 of the family's 1533-position model. The record is from RNAcentral.